CAAGUUAUCUAAUAGAUAGGUUUUCAGUUACGUUGAGAUAUUGAUUGUGCAAUUCAAUCUAACUUGA
Molecule: transfer RNA, 67 nt
Filed under: Margattea concava
Lineage: Eukaryota; Metazoa; Arthropoda; Insecta; Blattodea; Pseudophyllodromiidae
Description: tRNA-Val
Source: RNAcentral